RNAcentral lists this ribosomal RNA (470 nucleotides) under uncultured bacterium. RNAcentral describes it as "bacterial SSU rRNA". It matches the Rfam family "Bacterial small subunit ribosomal RNA", at positions 355 to 822 of the family's 1533-position model. The record is from RNAcentral.
UGGGGAAUUGUUCACAAUGGGCGCAAGCCUGAUGACGCAACGCCGCGUGGGGGAUGAAGGUCUUCGGAUUGUAAACCCCUGUCGAAUGGGACGAAAGACUCGCGAGUUAAUACUUCGCGGGAGUGACGGUACCGUUAAAGGAAGCCACGGCUAACUCUGUGCCAGCAGCCGCGGUAAUACAGAGGUGGCAAGCGUUGUUCGGAAUUACUGGGCGUAAAGGGCGCGUAGGCGGCCUACUAAGUCAGACGUGAAAUCCCCCGGCUUAACCUGGGAACUGCGUCUGAUACUGGAAGGCUUGAGUAUGGGAGAGGGAUGUAGAAUUCCAGGUGUAGCGGUGAAAUGCGUAGAUAUCUGGAGGAAUACCGGUGGCGAAGGCGGCAUCCUGGACCAUUACUGACGCUGAGGCGCGAAAGCUAGGGGAGCAAACGGGAUUAGAUACCCCGGUAGUCCCUGAGCGGGCUGGCAAGGCG